Molecule: long non-coding RNA, 813 nt
Organism: Mesocricetus auratus (golden hamster)
Lineage: Eukaryota; Metazoa; Chordata; Mammalia; Rodentia; Cricetidae
Exons: 3
Source: RefSeq, a predicted model, not a curated record
AGCGCCAUCUUCUAACGGCAAUAGCGAUAGCGAGGGCGGCUCCUCACACCUCCCUGUCUCCUAAAAGGUGAACUGCUUUGUUCCACCAUGCAUUCCCUGACAUGGUGUUCAGUAGACCCAACAAUGGAACCAGGAAACCUUGAGCAGAAACCUACAAAAUCAUCAGACAAAGUAUUUAUCAUAGACAUAAAAAAUGGGCCUACAGUCAUACUACCUUGCAUUCACUGAUCUCACCUAAUCACAAAAGCUAAGCAGUUUGGAACCCAGUUAAUAUUUGGAUAAGAGAGAAAAAAUAUGACAAAUGGAAGUCAAACAUAUAAGGUUUCUGGAUACUACACAAUUUGUCUCUCGUCAUAUAGGUCCAAGAUCUGGGUAUCAAGGCAAGCUCCACAGCCUGGGGAUACAGUUAUGAGGAGUAACAGAAAAUGAAAGUCUAGGAGUGGCACUGUAUGUCACUGUGGAGGUCGGCUUUGCGGUCUCAUAUGCUCAAGCUAAACCCAGUAUGGGACACAGUAUACCUCUGCUGCCUGUGGAUCAAGAUGUAGAACUCUCAACUCCUUCUCCAGCACCGUGUCUCUGCAUGCGUACUGACAUUUUUUCUGACAUGAUGAUUGAUAAUGAACCAAACCUCUGAAACUAUAAGUCAGUCCCAAUUAAAUGUUUCCUUUUAUGAGUGUUGCCGUGGUUAUGGUGUCUCAUCAUAGCAAUAGAAACCCUAACUAAGGCACAGUCUAACUGGUGAGAGAACCUCUAAACACCACGCCUCCCCACAGAACCAAUAAAAGGAAUAGAGAUUUAUACAUCCAAAUACGC